AAGCCAAUGAGGAUUAGUUUUGCUUAAUAGUUGGAAUUACCGGCUGAAUUCUUUGAUGUCAAAUGCAGACUGCUUUCUGAGGCUUCAU
Molecule: small nucleolar RNA, 88 nt
Organism: Ziziphus jujuba (common jujube)
Lineage: Eukaryota; Viridiplantae; Streptophyta; Magnoliopsida; Rosales; Rhamnaceae
Source: RefSeq, a predicted model, not a curated record